GAUGAACGCUGGCGGCGUGCCUAAUACAUGCAAGUCGAACGAACAGAUGAGGAGCUUGCUCCUCUGACGUUAGCGGCGGACGGGUGAGUAACACGUGGAUAACCUACCUAUAAGACUGGGAUAACUUCGGGAAACCGGAGCUAAUACCGGAUAAUAUAUUGAACCGCAUGGUUCAAUAGUGAAAGACGGUUUUGCUGUCACUUAUAGAUGGAUCCGCGCCGCAUUAGCUAGUUGGUAAGGUAACGGCUUACCAAGGCAACGAUGCGUAGCCGACCUGAGAGGGUGAUCGGCCACACUGGAACUGAGACACGGUCCAGACUCCUACGGGAGGCAGCAGUAGGGAAUCUUCCGCAAUGGGCGAAAGCCUGACGGAGCAACGCCGCGUGAGUGAUGAAGGUCUUCGGAUCGUAAAACUCUGCUAUUAGGGAAGAACAAAUGUGUAAGUAACUAUGCACGUCUUGACGGUACCUAAUCAGAAAGCCACGGCUAACUACGUG
RNAcentral lists this ribosomal RNA (497 nucleotides) under uncultured bacterium. RNAcentral describes it as "partial 16S ribosomal RNA". It matches the Rfam family "Bacterial small subunit ribosomal RNA", at positions 28 to 507 of the family's 1533-position model. The record is from RNAcentral.